UACGUAGGGCGCAAGCGUUAUCCGGAAUUAUUGGGCGUAAAGAGCUCGUAGGCGGUUUGUCGCGUCUGCCGUGAAAGUCCGGGGCUCAACUCCGGAUCUGCGGUGGGUACGGGCAGACUAGAGUGAUGUAGGGGAGACUGGAAUUCCUGGUGUAGCGGUGAAAUGCGCAGAUAUCAGGAGGAACACCGAUGGCGAAGGCAGGUCUCUGGGCCGUAACUGACGCUGAGGAAGCGAAAGGCGUGGGGAGCGAACAGG
Molecule: ribosomal RNA, 255 nt
Filed under: uncultured bacterium
Lineage: Bacteria
Description: partial 16S ribosomal RNA
Rfam family: Bacterial small subunit ribosomal RNA
Source: RNAcentral